UACAGAGGUCCCGAGCGUUGUUCGGAUUCACUGGGCGUAAAGGGUGCGUAGGUGGUGAGGUAAGUCGGAUGUGAAAGCUCCAAGCUCAACUUGGAAAUGGCAUUGGAAACUACCUUGCUAGAGGGUUUGAGGGGGGACUGGAAUACUUGGUGUAGCAGUGAAAUGCGUAGAUAUCAAGUGGAACACCAGUGGCGAAGGCGAGUCCCUGGAAAACUCCUGACACUGAGGCACGAAAGCUAGGGGAGCAAACAGG
RNAcentral lists this ribosomal RNA (253 nucleotides) under uncultured bacterium. Its description in RNAcentral is "partial 16S ribosomal RNA". It matches the Rfam family "Bacterial small subunit ribosomal RNA", at positions 524 to 776 of the family's 1533-position model. The record is from RNAcentral. RNAcentral also lists the same sequence under 1 other name.